Molecule: ribosomal RNA, 236 nt
Filed under: uncultured bacterium
Lineage: Bacteria
Description: partial 16S ribosomal RNA
Rfam family: Bacterial small subunit ribosomal RNA
Source: RNAcentral
AGUAACACGUGGGUAAUCUGCCCUCGAUUCUGGGAUAGCCCGGGGAAACCCGGAUUAAUACCAGAUAGCCUUCUGAGCCUUCGGGCGAGGAAGAAAAGGUAGCUUCGGCCUCCGAUCGAGGAUGAGCCCGCGGUGGAUUAGCUUGUUGGCGGGGUAAUGGCCCACCAAGGCGACGAUCCAUAGCUGGUCUGAGAGGACGAUCAGCCACACUGGGACUGAGACACGGCCCAGACUCC